Molecule: ribosomal RNA, 497 nt
Filed under: uncultured bacterium
Lineage: Bacteria
Description: partial 16S ribosomal RNA
Rfam family: Bacterial small subunit ribosomal RNA
Source: RNAcentral
GACGAACGCUGGCGGCGUGCCUAAUACAUGCAAGUAGAACGCUGAAGAGAGGAGCUUACUCUUCUUGGAUGAGUUGCGAACGGGUGAGUAACGCGUAGGUAACCUGCCUUGUAGCGGGGGAUAACUAUUGGAAACGAUAGCUAAUACCGCAUAACAAUGGAUGACACAUGUCAUUUAUUUGAAAGGGGCAAUUGCUCCACUACAAGAUGGACCUGCGUUGUAUUAGCUAGUAGGUGAGGUAAUGGCUCACCUAGGCGACGAUACAUAGCCGACCUGAGAGGGUGAUCGGCCACACUGGGACUGAGACACGGCCCAGACUCCUACGGGAGGCAGCAGUAGGGAAUCUUCGGCAAUGGGGGCAACCCUGACCGAGCAACGCCGCGUGAGUGAAGAAGGGUGUCGGAUCGUAAAGCUCUGUUGUAGGUCAAGAACGGGUGUGAGAGUGGAAAGUUCACACUGUGACGGUAGCUUACCAGAAAGGGACGGCUAACUACGUG